Chloroherpeton thalassium ATCC 35110 is the source of this 87-nucleotide regulatory RNA element. It matches the Rfam family "SAM-Chlorobi RNA". The record is from Rfam. NCBI's taxonomy places the organism in Bacteria, Pseudomonadati, Chlorobiota, Chlorobiia, Chlorobiales, Chloroherpetonaceae.
UGACAUCCCCAUUAUCUAUGGACACGGUGUCAGACGAACCCUGAUGAAAGCUACUGCUUAGUUUGGGGGAAGACUUUCCGUGUCCGA